RNAcentral lists this long non-coding RNA (274 nucleotides) under Gossypium barbadense (sea-island cotton). RNAcentral's name for it is "long non-coding RNA (GBAR_LNC011820)". Lineage: Eukaryota; Viridiplantae; Streptophyta; Magnoliopsida; Malvales; Malvaceae. The record is from RNAcentral.
AUGGGCAAAGCCCAAUGUAUAUCGACUUGUAAUAGGGCUACGACCCAGAUUGAUACUGAUAUGGGCUACGCCCAAUAUACUCUGAUACUGUAAGGGGCUAUGGCCCAGAUUAAUAUUGAUAUGGGCUAAGGCCCAGUUAACUUUGAUUUCUGAAUAGGGCUUGGGCCUAGUAAAGCUUGAACUGAUUUGGGCUCUGGUUGGGAUACUUUACACACUGAGUUUUCCAAACUCACCCCCCUUUUUCCCAUCUUUGCAGGUGAGCCUUAGAUCGAUG